UGGCGGACGGGUGAGUAACGCGUGGGGAACCGUGCCUCAUACAGGGGAUAACAGUUGGAAACGACUGUUAAUACCGCAUAAGACCACAGAGUCGCAUGACUCAGGGGUAAAAACUCCGGUGGUAUGAGAUGGACCCGCGUUCGAUUAGCCAGUUGGCGGGGUAACGGCCCACCAAAGCGACGAUCGAUAGCCGAUUUGAGAGAAUGACCGGCCACAUUGGGACUGAGACACGGCCCAA
RNAcentral lists this ribosomal RNA (238 nucleotides) under uncultured bacterium. RNAcentral describes it as "partial 16S ribosomal RNA". It matches the Rfam family "Bacterial small subunit ribosomal RNA", at positions 96 to 334 of the family's 1533-position model. The record is from RNAcentral.